This 2923-nucleotide ribosomal RNA is filed under the name Escherichia sp. E2562. RNAcentral's name for it is "23S ribosomal RNA". It matches the Rfam family "Bacterial large subunit ribosomal RNA". The record is from RNAcentral. Lineage: Bacteria; Pseudomonadati; Pseudomonadota; Gammaproteobacteria; Enterobacterales; Enterobacteriaceae.
GGGUUGUGAGGUUAAGCGACUAAGCGUACACGGUGGAUGCCCUGGCAGUCAGAGGCGAUGAAGGACGUGCUAAUCUGCGAUAAGCGUCGGUAAGGUGAUAUGAACCGUUAUAACCGGCGAUUUCCGAAUGGGGAAACCCAGUGUGAUUCGUCACACUAUCAUUAACUGAAUCCAUAGGUUAAUGAGGCGAACCGGGGGAACUGAAACAUCUAAGUACCCCGAGGAAAAGAAAUCAACCGAGAUUCCCCCAGUAGCGGCGAGCGAACGGGGAGCAGCCCAGAGCCUGAAUCAGUGUGUGUGUUAGUGGAAGCGUCUGGAAAGGCGCGCGAUACAGGGUGACAGCCCCGUACACAAAAAUGCACAUGCUGUGAGCUCGAUGAGUAGGGCGGGACACGUGGUAUCCUGUCUGAAUAUGGGGGGACCAUCCUCCAAGGCUAAAUACUCCUGACUGACCGAUAGUGAACCAGUACCGUGAGGGAAAGGCGAAAAGAACCCCGGCGAGGGGAGUGAAAAAGAACCUGAAACCGUGUACGUACAAGCAGUGGGAGCCUCUUUAUGGGGUGACUGCGUACCUUUUGUAUAAUGGGUCAGCGACUUAUAUUCUGUAGCAAGGUUAACCGAAUAGGGGAGCCGAAGGGAAACCGAGUCUUAACUGGGCGUUAAGUUGCAGGGUAUAGACCCGAAACCCGGUGAUCUAGCCAUGGGCAGGUUGAAGGUUGGGUAACACUAACUGGAGGACCGAACCGACUAAUGUUGAAAAAUUAGCGGAUGACUUGUGGCUGGGGGUGAAAGGCCAAUCAAACCGGGAGAUAGCUGGUUCUCCCCGAAAGCUAUUUAGGUAGCGCCUCGUGAAUUCAUCUCCGGGGGUAGAGCACUGUUUCGGCAAGGGGGUCAUCCCGACUUACCAACCCGAUGCAAACUGCGAAUACCGGAGAAUGUUAUCACGGGAGACACACGGCGGGUGCUAACGUCCGUCGUGAAGAGGGAAACAACCCAGACCGCCAGCUAAGGUCCCAAAGUCAUGGUUAAGUGGGAAACGAUGUGGGAAGGCCCAGACAGCCAGGAUGUUGGCUUAGAAGCAGCCAUCAUUUAAAGAAAGCGUAAUAGCUCACUGGUCGAGUCGGCCUGCGCGGAAGAUGUAACGGGGCUAAACCAUGCACCGAAGCUGCGGCAGCGACACUAUGUGUUGUUGGGUAGGGGAGCGUUCUGUAAGCCUGUGAAGGUGUGCUGUGAGGCAUGCUGGAGGUAUCAGAAGUGCGAAUGCUGACAUAAGUAACGAUAAAGCGGGUGAAAAGCCCGCUCGCCGGAAGACCAAGGGUUCCUGUCCAACGUUAAUCGGGGCAGGGUGAGUCGACCCCUAAGGCGAGGCCGAAAGGCGUAGUCGAUGGGAAACAGGUUAAUAUUCCUGUACUUGGUGUUACUGCGAAGGGGGGACGGAGAAGGCUAUGUUGGCCGGGCGACGGUUGUCCCGGUUUAAGCGUGUAGGCUGGUUUUCCAGGCAAAUCCGGAAAAUCAAGGCUGAGGCGUGAUGACGAGGCACUACGGUGCUGAAGCGACAAAUGCCCUGCUUCCAGGAAAAGCCUCUAAGCAUCAGGUAACAUCAAAUCGUACCCCAAACCGACACAGGUGGUCAGGUAGAGAAUACCAAGGCGCUUGAGAGAACUCGGGUGAAGGAACUAGGCAAAAUGGUGCCGUAACUUCGGGAGAAGGCACGCUGAUAUGUAGGUGAAGCGACUUGCUCGUGGAGCUGAAAUCAGUCGAAGAUACCAGCUGGCUGCAACUGUUUAUUAAAAACACAGCACUGUGCAAACACGAAAGUGGACGUAUACGGUGUGACGCCUGCCCGGUGCCGGAAGGUUAAUUGAUGGGGUCAGCGCAAGCGAAGCUCUUGAUCGAAGCCCCGGUAAACGGCGGCCGUAACUAUAACGGUCCUAAGGUAGCGAAAUUCCUUGUCGGGUAAGUUCCGACCUGCACGAAUGGCGUAAUGAUGGCCAGGCUGUCUCCACCCGAGACUCAGUGAAAUUGAACUCGCUGUGAAGAUGCAGUGUACCCGCGGCAAGACGGAAAGACCCCGUGAACCUUUACUAUAGCUUGACACUGAACAUUGAGCCUUGAUGUGUAGGAUAGGUGGGAGGCUUUGAAGUGUGGACGCCAGUCUGCAUGGAGCCGACCUUGAAAUACCACCCUUUAAUGUUUGAUGUUCUAACGUAGACCCGUGAUCCGGGUUGCGGACAGUGUCUGGUGGGUAGUUUGACUGGGGCGGUCUCCUCCUAAAGAGUAACGGAGGAGCACGAAGGUUGGCUAAUCCUGGUCGGACAUCAGGAGGUUAGUGCAAUGGCAUAAGCCAGCUUGACUGCGAGCGUGACGGCGCGAGCAGGUGCGAAAGCAGGUCAUAGUGAUCCGGUGGUUCUGAAUGGAAGGGCCAUCGCUCAACGGAUAAAAGGUACUCCGGGGAUAACAGGCUGAUACCGCCCAAGAGUUCAUAUCGACGGCGGUGUUUGGCACCUCGAUGUCGGCUCAUCACAUCCUGGGGCUGAAGUAGGUCCCAAGGGUAUGGCUGUUCGCCAUUUAAAGUGGUACGCGAGCUGGGUUUAGAACGUCGUGAGACAGUUCGGUCCCUAUCUGCCGUGGGCGCUGGAGAACUGAGGGGGGCUGCUCCUAGUACGAGAGGACCGGAGUGGACGCAUCACUGGUGUUCGGGUUGUCAUGCCAAUGGCACUGCCCGGUAGCUAAAUGCGGAAGAGAUAAGUGCUGAAAGCAUCUAAGCACGAAACUUGCCCCGAGAUGAGUUCUCCCUGAGACUUAGAGUCUCCUGAAGGAACGUUGAAGACGACGACGUUGAUAGGCCGGGUGUGUAAGCGCAGCGAUGCGUUGAGCUAACCGGUACUAAUGAACCGUGAGGCUUAACCUUACAACGCCGAAG